RNAcentral lists this ribosomal RNA (207 nucleotides) under uncultured bacterium. RNAcentral describes it as "partial 16S ribosomal RNA". It matches the Rfam family "Bacterial small subunit ribosomal RNA", at positions 568 to 774 of the family's 1533-position model. The record is from RNAcentral.
CGCGUAGGCGGUUUUGUAAGUCGGAUGUGAAAGCCCUGGGCUUAACCUGGGAAUUGCAUUCGAUACUGCAUAACUAGAGUAUGGUAGAGGGAAGUGGAAUUUCCGGUGUAGCGGUGAAAUGCGUAGAUAUCGGAAGGAACACCAGUGGCGAAGGCGACUUCCUGGGCCAAUACUGACGCUGAGGUGCGAAAGCGUGGGGAGCAAACA